RNAcentral lists this ribosomal RNA (547 nucleotides) under uncultured bacterium. RNAcentral describes it as "bacterial SSU rRNA". It matches the Rfam family "Bacterial small subunit ribosomal RNA", at positions 777 to 1322 of the family's 1533-position model. The record is from RNAcentral.
AAUAGAUACCCUGGUAGUCCACGCCGUAAACGAUGAGUGCUAAGUGUUAGGGGGUUUCCGCCCCUUAGUGCUGCAGCUAACGCAUUAAGCACUCCGCCUGGGGAGUACGGUCGCAAGACUGAAACUCAAAGGAAUUGACGGGGGCCCGCACAAGCGGUGGAGCAUGUGGUUUAAUUCGAAGCAACGCGAAGAACCUUACCAGGUCUUGACAUCCCAUUGACCACUAUGGAGACAUAGUUUUCCCUUCGGGGACAACGGUGACAGGUGGUGCAUGGUUGUCGUCAGCUCGUGUCGUGAGAUGUUGGGUUAAGUCCCGCAACGAGCGCAACCCUUGUUCUUAGUUGCCAUCAUUUAGUUGGGCACUCUAAGGAGACUGCCGGUGACAAACCGGAGGAAGGUGGGGAUGACGUCAAAUCAUCAUGCCCCUUAUGAUCUGGGCUACACACGUGCUACAAUGGACGGUACAAACGGUUGCCAACCCGCGAGGGGGAGCUAAUCCGAUAAAACCGUUCUCAGUUCGGAUUGUAGGCUGCAACUCGCCUACAGU